This 276-nucleotide long non-coding RNA is filed under the name Manihot esculenta (cassava). RNAcentral describes it as "long non-coding RNA (MESC_LNC009356)". The record is from RNAcentral. Lineage: Eukaryota; Viridiplantae; Streptophyta; Magnoliopsida; Malpighiales; Euphorbiaceae.
UAUGCAUGGAUCCUGUUUUACGUUUCUUGAUGAGAAAUGUGCUAAACCAGGCUUAGUGUAUGAUAUGUUACAGAGACAUCAGUGAGUUGUGUUUUGGGAAGACAAGGUAUCAAAUCCCUUGACUCAGAAACAUAACAGAGAGGGAAGAAAGGGUUUCAAUCCCUUGACCCUUAGGCAACCGUGAGGGGAAGGACGCUGGACGUGAACCCAAGAGCGGGCCAUAGUCACUGGUGUAGGCCCAGAGGGCUGUUUCAGAUUUAUAUGUCUGAGAAAUAG